UUGCGGAAACAGGAUUUGAACCCGUGACCUCAAGGUUAUGAGCCUUGCGAGCUACCAAACGGCUCUACCCAGCG
Molecule: transfer RNA, 74 nt
Filed under: Arabidopsis thaliana (thale cress)
Lineage: Eukaryota; Viridiplantae; Streptophyta; Magnoliopsida; Brassicales; Brassicaceae
Description: tRNA-Met
Source: RNAcentral